ACAGCAGCAGCCGCGGGAAAACAGAGGGUGCGAGCGUUAAUCGGAUUUACUGGGCGUAAAGCGUGCGUAGGCGGCUUCUUAAGUCGGAUGUGAAAUCCCUGAGCUUAACUUAGGAAUUGCAUUCGAUACUGGGAAGCUAGAGUAUGGGAGAGGAUGGUAGAAUUCCAGGUGUAGCGGUGAAAUGCGUAGAGAUCUGGAGGAAUACCGAUGGCGAAGGCAGCCAUCUGGCCUAAUACUGACGCUGAGGUACGAAAGCAUGGGGAGCAAACAGGAUUAGAUACCCGGGUAGUCCCUGUCUCUUAUAC
This 305-nucleotide ribosomal RNA is filed under the name uncultured bacterium. RNAcentral describes it as "partial 16S ribosomal RNA". It matches the Rfam family "Bacterial small subunit ribosomal RNA", at positions 505 to 807 of the family's 1533-position model. The record is from RNAcentral.